CCCUUAGAUGUUCUGGGCCGCACGCGUGCUACACUGAGUAAUUCAAUGGGUAAGGGAACGCUAGAGCAUUACCUAAUCUUGAAAUUUGCUCGUGAUGGGGAUCGACGGUUGCAAUUUUCCGUCGUGAACGAGGAAUACCUUGUAGGCGCAUGUCAUCAUCAUGCGCCGAAUACGUCCCUGCCCUUUGUACACACCGCCCGUCGCUCCUACCGAUUGAGUGAUCCGGUGAGGCUCUGGGACCCGGACGGAAAGAGCGUUUCGCUUGUUCUGUUUGGGAAACUUGGUCGAACCUUAUCAUUUAGAGGAAGGAGAAGUCGUAACA
This 322-nucleotide ribosomal RNA is filed under the name uncultured eukaryote. RNAcentral's name for it is "partial 18S ribosomal RNA". It matches the Rfam family "Eukaryotic small subunit ribosomal RNA", at positions 1470 to 1796 of the family's 1831-position model. The record is from RNAcentral.